This 148-nucleotide ribosomal RNA is filed under the name Olea europaea subsp. europaea. Its description in RNAcentral is "SSU_rRNA_bacteria". The record is from RNAcentral. Lineage: Eukaryota; Viridiplantae; Streptophyta; Magnoliopsida; Lamiales; Oleaceae.
GCAUGGUUGUCGUCAGCUCGUGCCGUAAGGUGUUGGAUUAAGUCUCGCAACGAGCACAAGUGUAAAAUUAUUUUAUUGGAAAAAUGUAUGGUUGAAAAUGAGUUUGGGGAAAAUGAAUUUUUUUUUAUAAUGGGGCUCAAACAUUUGC